RNAcentral lists this ribosomal RNA (465 nucleotides) under uncultured bacterium. RNAcentral's name for it is "partial 16S ribosomal RNA". It matches the Rfam family "Bacterial small subunit ribosomal RNA", at positions 29 to 507 of the family's 1533-position model. The record is from RNAcentral.
ACGCACGCUGGCGGCGCGCCUAACCCAUGCAAGUCGAACGAGCGAGAGAGAGCUUGCUUUCUCGAGCGAGUGGCGAACGGGUGAGUAACGCGUGAGGAACCUGCCUCAAAGAGGGGGACAACAGUUGGAAACGACUGCUAAUACCGCAUAAGCCCACGACCCGGCAUCGGGUAGAGGGAAAAGGAGCAAUCCGCUUUGAGAUGGCCUCGCGUCCGAUUAGCUAGUUGGUGAGGUAACGGCCCACCAAGGCGACGAUCGGUAGCCGGACUGAGAGGUUGAACGGCCACAUUGGGACUGAGACACGGCCCAGACUCCUACGGGAGGCAGCAGUGGGGAAUAUUGCACAAUGGGGGAAACCCUGAUGCAGCGACGCCGCGUGGAGGAAGAAGGUCUUCGGAUUGUAAACUCCUGUUGUGGAGGAAGAUAAUGACGGUACUCAACAAGGAAGUGACGGCUAACUACGUG